RNAcentral lists this ribosomal RNA (522 nucleotides) under Salmonella enterica. RNAcentral describes it as "bacterial SSU rRNA". It matches the Rfam family "Bacterial small subunit ribosomal RNA", at positions 1 to 514 of the family's 1533-position model. Lineage: Bacteria; Pseudomonadati; Pseudomonadota; Gammaproteobacteria; Enterobacterales; Enterobacteriaceae. The record is from RNAcentral.
AAAUUGAAGAGUUUGAUCAUGGCUCAGAUUGAACGCUGGCGGCAGGCCUAACACAUGCAAGUCGAACGGUAGCACAGAGAGCUUGCUCUCGGGUGACGAGUGGCGGACGGGUGAGUAAUGUCUGGGAAACUGCCUGAUGGAGGGGGAUAACUACUGGAAACGGUGGCUAAUACCGCAUAACGUCGCAAGACCAAAGAGGGGGACCUUCGGGCCUCUUGCCAUCAGAUGUGCCCAGAUGGGAUUAGCUUGUUGGUGAGGUAACGGCUCACCAAGGCGACGAUCCCUAGCUGGUCUGAGAGGAUGACCAGCCACACUGGAACUGAGACACGGUCCAGACUCCUACGGGAGGCAGCAGUGGGGAAUAUUGCACAAUGGGCGCAAGCCUGAUGCAGCCAUGCCGCGUGUAUGAAGAAGGCCUUCGGGUUGUAAAGUACUUUCAGCGGGGAGGAAGGUGUUGUGGUUAAUAACCACAGCAAUUGACGUUACCCGCAGAAGAAGCACCGGCUAACUCCGUGCCAGCAG